AAAAUCCGGAAAAUCAAGGCUGAGGCGUGAUGACGAGGCACUACGGUGCUGAAGCAACAAAUGCCCUGCUUCCAGGAAAAGCCUCUAAGCAUCAGGUAACAUCAAAUCGUACCCCAAACCGACACAGGUGGUCAGGUAGAGAGUACCAAGGCGCUUGAGAGAACUCGGGUGAAGGAACUAGGCAAAAUGGUGCCGUAACUUCGGGAGAAGGCACGCUGAUAUGUAGGUGAAGCGACUUGCUCGUGGAGCUGAAAUCAGUCGAAGAUACCAGCUGGCUGCAACUGUUUAUUAAAAACACAGCACUGUGCAAACACGAAAGUGGACGUAUACGGCGUGACGUCUGCCCGGUGCCGGAAGGUUAAUUGAUGGGGUCAGCGCAAGCGAAGCUCUUGAUCGAAGCCCCGGUAAACGGCGGCCGUAACGAUAACGGUCCUAAGGUAGCGAAAUUCCUUGUCGGGUAAGUUCCGACCUGCACGAAUGGCGUAAUGAUGGCCAGGCUGUCUCCACCCGAGACUCAGUGAAAUUGAACUCGCUGUGAAGAUGCAGUGUACCCGCGCCAAGACGGAAAGACCCCGUGAACCUUUACUAUAGCUUGACACUGAACAUUGAGCCUUGAUGUGUAGGAUAGGUGGGAGGCUUUGAAGUGUGGACGCCAGUCUGCAUGGAGCCGACCUUGAAAUACCACCCUUUAAUGUUUGAUGUUCUAACGUGGACCCGUGAUCCGGGUUGCGGACAGUGUCUGGUGGGUAGUUUGACUGGGGCGGUCUCCUCCUAAAGAGUAACGGAGGAGCACGAAGGUUGGCUAAUCCUGGUCGGACAUCAGGAGGUUAGUGCAAUGGCAUAAGCCAGCUUGACUGCUAGCGUGACGGCGCGAGCAGGUGCGAAAGCAGGUCAUAGUGAUCCGGUGGUUCUGAAUGGAAGGGCCAUCGCUCAACGGAUAAAAGGUACUCCGGGGAUAACAGGCUGAUACCGCCCAAGAGUUCAUAUCGACGGCGGUGUUUGGCACCUCGAUGUCGGCUCAUCACAUCCUGGAGCUGAAGUAGGUCCCAAGGGUAUGGCUGUUCGCCAUUUAAAGUGGUACGCGAGCUGGGUUUAGAACGUCGUGAGACAGUUCGGUCCCUAUCUGCCGUGGGCGCUGAGAACUGAGGGGGGCUGCUCCUAGUACGAGAGGACCGGAGUGGACGCAUCACUGGUGCUCGGGUUGUCAUGCCAGUGGCACUGCCCGGUAGCUAAGUGCGGAAGAGAUAAGUGCUGAAAGCAUCUAAGCACGAAACUUGCCCCGAGAUGAGUUCUCCCUGACUCCUUGAGAGUCCUGAAGGAACGUUGAAGACGACGACGUUGAUAGGCCGGGUGUGUAAGCGCAGCGAUGCGUUGAGCUAACCGGUACUAAUGAACCGUGAGGCUUAACCU
This 1410-nucleotide ribosomal RNA is filed under the name metagenome. Its description in RNAcentral is "bacterial LSU rRNA". It matches the Rfam family "Bacterial large subunit ribosomal RNA", at positions 1537 to 2925 of the family's 2925-position model. The record is from RNAcentral.